AAGUGACCACCUGCGCGUUGGCCAGGCCGAGUCGCGUAGCUAGCCCGUCUCGCUCGGACGGCGCCAGGUACUUCUGGAGGACGAAGCGCCGCUCCAGCUCCAGCACCUGUUGCGCGGUGAACGCAGAACAGAGCAACAGGUCGCUCAGUUGGCAACGGUCUACUCUUUUCCCUGGGCACUGGCGGCCUUCCGGAGCCGCCACGGAGGAGAGGUGAGAAGUCGCAGACCGCUGCGGAGCGUGCGCGUCAAGUCCGCGGAACGUUUUACUAGUCAGCUCCUCCAGCGCGCACAGCGGCGACGUUGGACCCGG
Long non-coding RNA from Symphalangus syndactylus (siamang), 310 nucleotides. RefSeq lists it as uncharacterized. The record is from RefSeq and is a predicted model, not a curated record. NCBI's taxonomy places the organism in Eukaryota, Metazoa, Chordata, Mammalia, Primates, Hylobatidae.